RNAcentral lists this ribosomal RNA (478 nucleotides) under uncultured bacterium. RNAcentral describes it as "partial 16S ribosomal RNA". It matches the Rfam family "Bacterial small subunit ribosomal RNA", at positions 28 to 507 of the family's 1533-position model. The record is from RNAcentral.
GAUGAACGCUGGCGGCGUGCUUAACACAUGCAAGUCGAACGGGAAACCUUUUAUUGAAGCUUCGGCAGAUUUAGCUGGUUUCUAGUGGCGGACGGGUGAGUAACGCGUGGGUAACCUGCCCUAUACAGGGGGAUAACAACCAGAAAUGGUUGCUAAUACCGCAUAAGCGCACAGGGCCGCAUGGUCCGGUGUGAAAAACUCCGGUGGUAUAGGAUGGACCCGCGUUGGAUUAGCCAGUUGGCAGGGUAACGGCCUACCAAAGCGACGAUCCAUAGCCGGCCUGAGAGGGUGAACGGCCACAUUGGGACUGAGACACGGCCCAGACUCCUACGGGAGGCAGCAGUGGGGAAUAUUGCACAAUGGGGGAAACCCUGAUGCAGCGGCGCCGCGUGAAGGAAGAAGUAUCUCGGUAUGUAAACUUCUAUCAGCAGGGAAGAUAGUGACGGUACCUGACUAAGAAGCCCCGGCUAACUACGUG